CAGCAGCCGCGGUAAUACGUAGGUGGCAAGCGUUGUCCGGAAUUAUUGGGCGUAAAGGGCUCGCAGGCGGUUUCUUAAGUCCGAUGUGAAAGCCCCCGGCUCAACCGGGGAGGGUCAUUGGAAACUGGGAAACUUGAGUGCAGAAGAGGAGAGUGGAAUUCCACGUGUAGCGGUGAGAUGCGUAGAGAUGUGGAGGAACACCAGUGGCGAAGGCGACUCUCUGGUCUGUAACUGACGCUGAGGAGCGAAAGCGUGGGGAGCAAACAGGAUUAGAUACCCGCGUAGUCCCUGUCUCUUAUAC
Molecule: ribosomal RNA, 301 nt
Filed under: uncultured bacterium
Lineage: Bacteria
Description: partial 16S ribosomal RNA
Rfam family: Bacterial small subunit ribosomal RNA
Source: RNAcentral